GAGUUUGAUCAUGGCUCAGAUUGAACGCUGGCGGCAUGCCUUACACAUGCAAGUCGAACGGCAGCACGGGUGCUUGCACCUGGUGGCGAGUGGCGAACGGGUGAGUAAUACAUCGGAACAUGUCCUGUAGUGGGGGAUAGCCCGGCGAAAGCCGGAUUAAUACCGCAUACGAUCUGAGGAUGAAAGCGGGGGACCUUCGGGCCUCGCGCUAUAGGGUUGGCCGAUGGCUGAUUAGCUAGUUGGUGGGGUAAAGGCCUACCAAGGCGACGAUCAGUAGCUGGUCUGAGAGGACGACCAGCCACACUGGGACUGAGACACGGCCCAGACUCCUACGGGAGGCAGCAGUGGGGAAUUUUGGACAAUGGGCGAAAGCCUGAUCCAGCAAUGCCGCGUGUGUGAAGAAGGCCUUCGGGUUGUAAAGCACUUUUGUCCGGAAAGAAAUCCUUGGUUCUAAUAUAGCCGGGGGAUGACGGUACCGGAAGAAUAAGCACCGGCUAACUACGUGCCAGCAGCCGCGGUAAUACGUAGGGUGCAAGCGUUAAUCGGAAUUACUGGGCGUAAAGCGUGCGCAGGCGGUUUGCUAAGACCGAUGUGAAAUCCCCGGGCUCAACCUGGGAACUGCAUUGGUGACUGGCAGCUAGAGUAUGGCAGAGGGGGGUAGAAUUCCACGUGUAGCAGUGAAAUGCGUAGAGAUGUGGAGGAAUACCGAUGGCGAA
RNAcentral lists this ribosomal RNA (716 nucleotides) under uncultured Burkholderia sp. RNAcentral's name for it is "bacterial SSU rRNA". It matches the Rfam family "Bacterial small subunit ribosomal RNA", at positions 9 to 719 of the family's 1533-position model. Lineage: Bacteria; Pseudomonadati; Pseudomonadota; Betaproteobacteria; Burkholderiales; Burkholderiaceae. The record is from RNAcentral.